Molecule: long non-coding RNA, 1071 nt
Organism: Drosophila ananassae
Lineage: Eukaryota; Metazoa; Arthropoda; Insecta; Diptera; Drosophilidae
Exons: 2
Source: RefSeq, a predicted model, not a curated record
CACCAACAACAGCAGCAACACCAACAACAUCAACAACAACAACAACAACAACCAAAUGCAACAACCAACCAAGGCGGCUUUCUUCAUGUGUGUGUGUGAAAAAAACAACAACAACAACAGCAACAAGAACUUUAGAAAAACUUACAACUUUUUAGACUUGGAGCAUUUUUCGAGGGAAAUAGUUUAAAAAACAAAAAUCGCAAGAAAUCCAAAAUUUAUUUAGUGUUUUUUCUCCCAAAACAACAACAUACAAAUUACAAAAAACACACACGAAAAACAACCAAAAAGUGUCACUCAAAAAACAAAACAAAAAAAAACGUUAAGGAAAAAAGUCAAAAAUGUACAUUUUUUCGCUUUAAUUUUUUAAAAACAACUUCGAAAUCGAGACAGAGCGAGAGCGAGAGCGAGAGAGAGAGAGAGAGAGAUGAUGACGAUCGGCAUGCUCUAAGGUUGUGUUAAUUUUGCACAUAAUUUAAAAAAUAAAAAAAAACCGUAAACAAUUUUUUCUCAAAAUAAAAAAUCAAGAAAAUCACACAAAAAGUGAAAAAAUUCUUUCGAAAGCGAAAUUAACAAAAAGUCUUACAACAAAAAAAUUCAAUUCAAUGCAAGCAGCAAGUGCAACAGCAACAACAACUAAAAAAACAACAAUUUCACCCACAACAACAAAAGCGGCAACAACAACAACAGCAAGAACAAAAAGAACGAGAACAACGUUUUGAAACUGCGGUGUUUGGCGUUUAUGCAUAUUCUUCAAAAUUCCAAAUUUCAACGAAGAAGAAAGCGUGUAAAACUCAAAGAGAAACCAAGAGGAAAAGGAAACCAAAAAGCUAAAGGCACAAAAAAUUAUACAACACUAUCCGUAAUCUCGGCAAUUCGAAAGGCAACUCUAUCCCGAACAACUCUACCAAAACAACACGCUACAACUCUGGCAGCGCUCUCUGGCUAUAAAAUAUAGAAGAAAACAAAAGAAAAUCAACCAACAUUCUCUCUCCCUCACACACACACACACACACACACAUACAAAAUCAGAUAUAUAUAUAGAGAUAUAUCUAUAUGAUCCAAUAGUCUCUA